RNAcentral lists this ribosomal RNA (400 nucleotides) under uncultured bacterium. Its description in RNAcentral is "bacterial SSU rRNA". It matches the Rfam family "Bacterial small subunit ribosomal RNA", at positions 355 to 772 of the family's 1533-position model. The record is from RNAcentral.
UGGGGAAUAUUGGACAAUGGGCGAAAGCCUGAUCCAGCAAUGCCGCGUGAGUGAUGAAGGCCUUAGGGUUGUAAAGCUCUUUUACCCGGGAUGAUAAUGACAGUACCGGGAGAAUAAGCCCCGGCUAACUUCGUGCCAGCAGCCGCGGUAAUACGAAGGGGGCUAGCGUUGCUCGGAAUCACUGGGCGUAAAGGGCGCGUAGGCGGAUCUUUAAGUCGGGGGUGAAAGCCCAGGGCUCAACCCUGGAAUUGCCUUCGAUACUGAAGAUCUUGAGACCGGUAGAGGUAAGUGGAACUGCGAGUGUAGAGGUGAAAUUCGUAGAUAUUCGCAAGAACACCAGUGGCGAAGGCGGCUUACUGGACCGGUUCUGACGCUGAGGCGCGAAAGCGUGGGGAGCAAA